This 72-nucleotide transfer RNA is filed under the name Ovis aries (sheep). It matches the Rfam family "tRNA". From Rfam's summary of the family: Transfer RNA (tRNA) molecules are approximately 80 nucleotides in length. Their secondary structure includes four short double-helical elements and three loops (D, anti-codon, and T loops). The record is from Rfam by way of RNAcentral. Lineage: Eukaryota; Metazoa; Chordata; Mammalia; Artiodactyla; Bovidae.
UCCCUCGUAGCUCAGUUGGUAAAGAAUCUGCCUGCAAUGCAGGAGAUCCAGGUUCGAUUCCUGGGUAGGGAA